RNAcentral lists this long non-coding RNA (1129 nucleotides) under Homo sapiens (human). Its description in RNAcentral is "HSALNT0024954". Lineage: Eukaryota; Metazoa; Chordata; Mammalia; Primates; Hominidae. The record is from RNAcentral.
CAUUCAUGUGCAUAUUUUCGUGAGGAUGUAGUUUUCAUUUCACUUGAGUAAAUGCAAAGCAGUGAGAUUGCUGGGUCAUACAAUCUCGUCCAGAAGUAAUAUACGUCAAGAAAGAAGAGAUUAUAAAUGUCUAGCAGGGACUGUUAGAAAUAUAUUUGGUGCCCUUGAUGAUUUCUCAAUCAAGACAGGGAACACUGAGGUACAACCACAUAGAGCAUCGGAGCUGCUACGGUAAAGGGGAAGGAGAGAUUCCUACUCUGGUUGAUGACACUGGAUCCUUGCAAGCUGGACAUCUCGGAACAACAGACACAGCUGUUCAACCUCAGAGCUUCUAGACUUCCCAUGUUCCAAGUCCACUUCUGCCGGCAGAAUAGAAACCUCGUCAGUUAUCACAACUCAGUAUCCUUCUAAUUAAAAUAUCUGACCAUGUCCCCAUCAGCCACUUGCCUCAUUUGGGACACCACCAACCAUCCUGCACGGCUGCCCAUGUUUCUGUUUCUCCAGCCCAAGCAUGCAGUUUCAGUAGGUCCUUCAGAGGCUGCCUGAAAGGAGCUCCUGAAUUUCACAGACAAAUCCAGACCCCUGUGUGGAAAGCCUGCGGUGGUGUUCUCCGUCUUCCCACAGGACUCCCUGCAGCCAGGAAUUCUAGGGGAGCACCUGACGCGAGGUAUACGCCCAGAUGGCCUGAAGUAACUGAAGAAUCACAAAAGAAGUGAAAAUGUCCUGCCCCGCCUUAACUGAUGACAUUCCACCACAAAGGAAGUGUCAAUGGCUGGUCCUUGCCUUAACUGAUGACAUUCCACCGCAAAAGAAGUGAAAAUGGCCGGUCCUUGCCUUAACUGAUGACAUUACACCACAAAAGAAGUGAAAAUGGCCGGUCCUUGCCUUAAGUGAUGGCAUUACCUUGUGAAAGUCCUUUUCCUGGCUCAUUCUGGCUCAAAAUCACCCCCACUGAGCACCUUGUGACCCCCACUCCUGCCCGCCAGGGAACAAUCCCCCUUUGACUGUAAUUUUCCUUUACCUACCCAAAUCUUAUAAAAUGGCCCCACCCCUAUCUCCCUUUGCUGACUCUCUUUUUGGACUCAGCCUGCCUGCAUCCAGGUGAUUAAAAGCUUUUAUUGCUCACACA